AUUGAACGCUGGCGGCAUGCCUUACACAUGCAAGUCGAACGGCAGCACGGGAGCAAUCCUGGUGGCGAGUGGCGAACGGGUGAGUAAUAUAUCGGAACGUGCCCAGUCGUGGGGGAUAACGUAGCGAAAGCUACGCUAAUACCGCAUACGAUCUAUGGAUGAAAGCGGGGGAUCGCAAGACCUCGCGCGAUUGGAGCGGCCGAUAUCAGAUUAGGUAGUUGGUGAGGUAAAGGCUCACCAAGCCGACGAUCUGUAGCUGGUCUGAGAGGACGACCAGCCACACUGGAACUGAGACACGGUCCAGACUCCUACGGGAGGCAGCAGUGGGGAAUUUUGGACAAUGGGCGCAAGCCUGAUCCAGCAAUGCCGCGUGCAGGAUGAAGGCCUUCGGGUUGUAAACUGCUUUUGUACGGAACGAAACGGUUCUCUUUAAUACAGGGGGCUAAUGACGGUACCGUAAGAAUAAGCACCGGCUAACUACGUGCCAGCAGCCGCGGUAAUACGUAGGGUGCGAGCGUUAAUCGGAAUUACUGGGCGUAAAGCGUGCGCAGGCGGUUAUAUAAGACAGAUGUGAAAUCCCUGGGCUCAACCUAGGACCUGCAUUUGUGACUGUAUAGCUAGAGUACGGUAGAGGGGGAUGGAAUUCCGCGUGUAGCAGUGAAAUGCGUAGAUAUGCGGAGGAACACCGAUGGCGAAGGCAAUCCCCUGGACCUGUACUGACGCUCAUGCACGAAAGCGUGGGGAGCAAACAGGAUUAGAUACCCUGGUAGUCCACGCCCUAAACGAUGUCAACUGGUUGUUGGGUCUUCACUGACUCAGUAACGAAGCUAACGCGUGAAGUUGACCGCCUGGGGAGUACGGCCGCAAGGUUG
RNAcentral lists this ribosomal RNA (872 nucleotides) under uncultured bacterium. RNAcentral describes it as "bacterial SSU rRNA". It matches the Rfam family "Bacterial small subunit ribosomal RNA", at positions 28 to 896 of the family's 1533-position model. The record is from RNAcentral.